CCUACGGGAGGCAGCAGUAGGGAAUCUUCCACAAUGGGCGAAAGCCUGAUGGAGCAACGCCGCGUGGGUGAAGAAGGUCUUCGGAUCGUAAAACUCUGUUGUUAGAGAAGAAAGUGCGUGAGAGUAACUGUUCACGUUUCGACGGUAUCUAACCAGAAAGCCACGGCUAACUACGUGCCAGCAGCCGCGGUAAUACGUAGGUGGCAAGCGUUAUCCGGAUUUAUUGGGCGUAAAGGGAACGCAGGCGGUCUGUUAAGUCUGAUGUGAAAGCCUUCGGCUUAACCGGAGUAGUGCAUUGGAAACUGGGAGACUUGAGUGCAGAAGAGGAGAGUGGAAUUCCAUGUGUAGCGGUGAAAUGCGUAGAUAUAUGGAAGAACACCAGUGGCGAAGGCGACUCUCUGGUCUGUAACUGACGCUGAGGUUCGAAAGCGUGGGUAGCAAACAGGAUUAGAUACCCCAGUAGUC
RNAcentral lists this ribosomal RNA (465 nucleotides) under uncultured bacterium. RNAcentral describes it as "partial 16S ribosomal RNA". It matches the Rfam family "Bacterial small subunit ribosomal RNA", at positions 338 to 795 of the family's 1533-position model. The record is from RNAcentral.